This 229-nucleotide ribosomal RNA is filed under the name uncultured Lactobacillus sp. Its description in RNAcentral is "partial 16S ribosomal RNA". It matches the Rfam family "Bacterial small subunit ribosomal RNA", at positions 134 to 355 of the family's 1533-position model. Lineage: Bacteria; Bacillati; Bacillota; Bacilli; Lactobacillales; Lactobacillaceae. The record is from RNAcentral.
UAGUCUGGGAUACCACUUGGAAACAGGUGCUAAUACCGGAUAAGAAAGCGGAUCGCAUGAUCAGCUUUUAAAAGGCGGCGUAAGCUGUCGCUAUGGGAUGGCCCCGCGGUGCAUUAGCUAGUUUGUAAGGUAAAGGCUUACCAAGGCGAUGAUGCAUAGCCGAGUUGAGAGACUGAUCGGCCACAUUGGGACUGAGACACGGCCCAAACUCCUACGGGAGGCAGCAGUC